Molecule: ribosomal RNA, 298 nt
Filed under: Corynebacterium diphtheriae bv. mitis
Lineage: Bacteria; Bacillati; Actinomycetota; Actinomycetes; Mycobacteriales; Corynebacteriaceae
Description: partial 16S ribosomal RNA
Rfam family: Bacterial small subunit ribosomal RNA
Source: RNAcentral
UAAGCGCCCCGCCUGGGGAGUACGGCCGCAAGGCUAAAACUCAAAGGAAUUGACGGGGGCCCGCACAAGCGGCGGAGCAUGUGGAUUAAUUCGAUGCAACGCGAAGAACCUUACCUGGGCUUGACAUCAGCAGGAUCGCCGCAGAGAUGUGGUUUCCCUUGUGGUCUGUUGACAGGUGGUGCAUGGUUGUCGUCAGCUCGUGUCGUGAGAUGUUGGGUUAAGUCCCGCAACGAGCGCAACCCUUGUCUUAUGUUGCCAGCACGUGAUGGUGGGGACUCAUGAGAGACUGCCGGGGUUA